UCUUGGAACGUUGUUGGCGUUUUCUCUACCAUUUUCUACACAUAUUUCAUUCAAGAAGAGAGGAAAAUCAGAGAAAUCAUUCAUAAUAAGUAAGAAAGUUUAAUGGUUUUCCAUCGCUUCAACACCCUCAAAGCUUUCAUAUCUGGCUUUACAUACUUUCUCUGGACCAAUUGCAUCUCAUUAUGAAGCAUUGAGAUCCGGAUACAUUUGUUUGUUGGCUGAACAAGUACUCAAAAUUACAAUGAAAUUUGGUUGAAGAUUCUUGAUAUUCAAAGUCUCCCAAAGUUUCUGAAGUUCGAGUAUCAGAUCUAAGCUUCCAAAGGCUGAUUAAUUGUUUUGACAGAGGACGAAAUUGCUUGCAUAUACAAUAUCAACAAACUUGUAAAGUCAUCAUGCAAAUAGCCUCUUCAUCAACAUCUUUUUCUUCUCAUCAGAAAUAUGAU
Pistacia vera is the source of this 443-nucleotide long non-coding RNA. RefSeq lists it as uncharacterized. The record is from RefSeq and is a predicted model, not a curated record. NCBI's taxonomy places the organism in Eukaryota, Viridiplantae, Streptophyta, Magnoliopsida, Sapindales, Anacardiaceae. The transcript has 4 exons.